This 497-nucleotide ribosomal RNA is filed under the name uncultured bacterium. RNAcentral describes it as "partial 16S ribosomal RNA". It matches the Rfam family "Bacterial small subunit ribosomal RNA", at positions 28 to 507 of the family's 1533-position model. The record is from RNAcentral.
GACGAACGCUGGCGGCGUGCCUAAUACAUGCAAGUUGAGCGCUGAAGGUUGGUACUUGUACCAACUGGAUGAGCAGCGAACGGGUGAGUAACGCGUGGGGAAUCUGCCUUUGAGCGGGGGACAACAUUUGGAAACGAAUGCUAAUACCGCAUAAAAACUUUAAACACAAGUUUUAAGUUUGAAAGAUGCAAUUGCAUCACUCAAAGAUGAUCCCGCGUUGUAUUAGCUAGUUGGUGAGGUAAAGGCUCACCAAGGCGAUGAUACAUAGCCGACCUGAGAGGGUGGUCGGCCACAUUGGGACUGAGACACGGCCCAAACUCCUACGGGAGGCAGCAGUAGGGAAUCUUCGGCAAUGGACGAAAGUCUGACCGAGCAACGCCGCGUGAGUGAAGAAGGUUUUCGGAUCGUAAAACUCUGUUGGUAGAGAAGAAAGUUGGUGAGAGUGGAAAGCUCAUCAAGUGACGGUAACUACCCAGAAAGGGACGGCUAACUACGUG